This 63-nucleotide transfer RNA is filed under the name Tenagogonus zambezinus. Its description in RNAcentral is "tRNA-Leu". The record is from RNAcentral. Lineage: Eukaryota; Metazoa; Arthropoda; Insecta; Hemiptera; Gerridae.
UGUGGCAGAAAUAAAAUGCAAUGAAUUUAAGAUUCAUUUAUAAAGAAUACUCUUUCCUUAGAA